GCCGGGGAGAUAGCGGUGCCCUGUACCUGCAAUCCGCUACAGCAGGGGUGAUAUUCUGUCUGAGGAAAGCAUACUGCAAAGCUGCCCUUUAUAAGUGGCGUUGACGCUUGGGUCUUACGCAACAGAAACCUGCGAACCGUGUCAGGUCAGGAAUGAAGCAGCACUAAACAGGACCUUUUGUGUGCCGUGAGGGUGCCUGGGCUGAGCUAACUGUAGAGGUAACGUUUGUGGG
Molecule: signal recognition particle RNA, 232 nt
Filed under: uncultured Catenibacillus sp.
Lineage: Bacteria; Bacillati; Bacillota; Clostridia; Lachnospirales; Lachnospiraceae
Description: Bacterial large signal recognition particle RNA
Rfam family: Bacterial large signal recognition particle RNA
About the family: The signal recognition particle (SRP) is a universally conserved ribonucleoprotein involved in the co-translational targeting of proteins to membranes.
Source: RNAcentral